CCCACUGAGCCACCCAGGCGCCCCAGGAGUAUUUUCUUGAAAACAAGUUCAUCUUAAGUUUCCUUCCUCUUUGAUGAAUUUCUCUAUCUCCACUACUCCAAACCUGAAUGUGCAUGAAUGUAUUUCUUCAUAUUGACUAAUGUUGGGAUUUUUCUCUCCAAUCAGUUGGAAUAAAGAUUUAGACCUUGACUCCUAUAGAGUUGAUAAUGGCUGUAUAAUAAAUUACCAUAAACUUAGCAGCUUCAAACAAUACAAACUUAACUGUCUUACAGGAGGCUAGAAGCACCAGGUCAAUUUCAGUAGACGAAAGGUGUCAGCAGGAUUUGUUCCUUCUGGAGGCUCUCAAGGAGAAUCUGUUCCCUAUUCUGUCUUCUGGGGGCCCCUGCAUUCCUUGGCUGGUGAGCAGCCCUUGCUUUUAUCAUUCCAAACACAUAACUUCUGUUGUCACAUGUAAUCCUCCUUUGGUUUUCUUGCCUUCCUCUUACAGGGACCCUUGUGAGUAUAUUGAAGGCCCACCUGGAUAAUCCGGGAUCAUCUUCCCAUCUCAAAAUCCUUAAUCACAGUCGCAGGUGGCCCUUGUCAUAUAACAUAACAUAGUCACAGGUUCUGGGGAUUAGGAUGUGGCUGGGGAGAGGGCCGUUAUUCGAAAGACUCCAAAGACCUUCAUCCCUUUCACACCUUUGACCACACCUUGAACCUUGUAAUUAUUCUCCAGUGUCCUAUCCUCUGAUACAGUCCUGCAUCAUUCUAGAUCUCUUGGCCUCUAAAUGCCACUGUUCCUGUCGUUUGCCCUUACGGAGGCCUUUGCCCCUUGACAACAUUUGAAAAAAAAGUUACACUGCCUAUUGAUUUUAUCCCUUUCUCAAUGGUCCAUCUUAUCUCCAGUUCUUUGAUGAUAAACUAAGUUCCAUUACCCCUGUCCUUCACACAUGCCGGGCAAAGAGCUCCAUAUCUGAAUAAAAGUGGAAGCAAAUGUGUCAAGUGGUGAGAUUCUGAAAUCUGCAGGACUGGAAGUGGAAGAUGGGGGAAAUGGUGCUGCUGCUUUUAAUUCCUAUGUCCACUCUGAUGUCAUAAAGGGGUUCAGAGUUAGCAAUGAGGUAAGAGGGUUUUUCAGAGAUUGCUGUUCUUCUGCUGAGUCCCACCUCCACCAAAGGGGAGAAAUAGGUGGAUGGUGGGAAUCCUUCAUCUCCAGUCAAGAGGGAGGGCUUUCAAUGGGACCGUCUCUAGAGCUUGUAAUGCAUCCUCUGCAUUUGGAAAAGAAUGGACUGGGGAAUGACUUCGGGAAAAUCCGAAGGUGGUUGCUUCGUUGGCAGGUUAGGGGAGAAGUGGCUAAACUGAAUGGCUUGCAUUACACAAACUUUUCAGAAUGAAAGAUAUGUGGAUGUCUGUGGUGGGCCAGACAGGAGGCACAGGAGGGAGAAAGCCAGUGGGAUUGUCUUGGAUUCUUUCCAGAAGGACCAUCGGAAGGAGGAAAAGACGUCAGCAGACAAAAGCUAAAGGAAUCUCACAAAGAAGAGGGAAAAUCAUCAAGUAAUGGCAGCUUGAAGGGCAACUUGUGUUAUUAGCUCGUGUUUCCCUUCAAGACAAUUGCAGGAGAGUCACAGCUUUUGACGGCAGAGGCUAUUCCUGUUUCUGUUGAACAAGUGCUUCUACAGCACUGAUUUGGGCCUGAAUGGAGACAGCAUGUGUGGCCAAGUAGGUAUACCCACUGGUAUCUCUCUUUAAGACUUGUCAGGAAGCAGUGGACAGCACAGUAAGACAUGAGCUCGCAUUCACUUCCCAUCCUUCUCUAACUCACCUUCCUUUCCCUUCACUUUAUUGCCCUGGCAUUGAACUUCCCAACUAAAGUAUUAGCCUUUAAUCCUUGCCUAAAGAAUCUAGGCUAAGAGUAGUCAAACAUAGGCUUUGGAGGUCAAAUUGAAGUACCCUCUGAAUUUAUCAUCUAGGCCACUGUCCUAUGCCAUUCAUUCUAAGAGACUCUGUCCAUGGACCAGAAGCAGAACCCGGCAGCUAUGUGGGAGAUGUGGGCUCUGGUCAGGGAGACUAGUCUCCAGUGUCUCUAUGGCAAGUUUGGGAUGGGGAAUACAGAAUCAGAGGACAAAGACCUCUCCCACCAUCUUUUGUUUCCUUGCUGUUUGCCUGGACCUGCCUUGAUAAGGCUGCAUCUUCUCUCUUUUGUCUAUGCACUGGUAGGUAGGCGUACAGCCUUUAAAUCUCUUGUACUUAAAUGAUCUAAAUUCCUCUGAUGGAGCUUGAUAUCGUUCCUUCCUAAUAAACAAAAUGAUGGC
Long non-coding RNA from Mustela erminea (ermine), 2288 nucleotides. RefSeq lists it as uncharacterized. The transcript has 3 exons. NCBI's taxonomy places the organism in Eukaryota, Metazoa, Chordata, Mammalia, Carnivora, Mustelidae. The record is from RefSeq and is a predicted model, not a curated record.